Molecule: transfer RNA, 751 nt
Filed under: uncultured cyanobacterium
Lineage: Bacteria; Bacillati; Cyanobacteriota
Description: partial 16S-23S ribosomal RNA intergenic spacer
Rfam family: tRNA (bases 268-340)
Source: RNAcentral
CAGGGAGACAACAACUGAUCGUGAUGUCUAAGUUAUUUAAUUCUUAGGCCAUGAUCCUGUCACCUUAGGUCGAUCGGUACCUCAAAUUUAGAUUAAACAAUGCCAUUGAUUUCUCAAUAGUUUUAAUGACAUCUAAAUUUCAGUUCCUAAACUUGUCUAGGUCACACCCAACGAGGGUAAUCCUGGGCCAUUAGCUCAGGUGGUUAGAGCGCACCCCUGAUAAGGGUGAGGUCCCUGGUUCAAGUCCAGGAUGGCCCAUUCGGUGUUGGGGGUAUAGCUCAGUUGGUAGAGCGCCUGCUUUGCAAGCAGGAUGUCAGCGGUUCGAGUCCGCUUACCUCCACUGACUCACCCACCUAAUAACGAACCCCCCAGUGGAUUCUCUUGGACUAGUUGUGAUUUAGACGUUGUUUUAUUUGAACGAACCUAGCUUCCUAUCAUUCCUCUUUAUUAAAUGUUUAAUUGGUAAUGGUUGGUAGGAUGCUGGGCUCACUGUAAUUAACUUAAUUGCAGAUGUGUUCAGUAGAACCUUGACAACUGCAUAGGUAAGUCUGGAAAAGAAUAAAGCAUCUCAUGGAUGCAUUAUUUCUUUUAUUCAAAAAUAGUUUUCUUGUUAAAACAAGAUCAUUAAUUGGAUUUAAGACAUUAAUGUUUAAUUCUUGAGCGAGAGCCGAGACUCUGUAGUUUUUUAUUAGUGCUUUAAAAGAACUAGUAAUCUAGAAGGUUGAAAACACCUCAAGCUAUAGAGAUUUAU